RNAcentral lists this ribosomal RNA (403 nucleotides) under bacterium. RNAcentral describes it as "partial 16S ribosomal RNA". It matches the Rfam family "Bacterial small subunit ribosomal RNA", at positions 355 to 776 of the family's 1533-position model. The record is from RNAcentral.
UGGGGAAUAUUGCACAAUGGAGGGAACUCUGAUGCAGCGACGCCGCGUGAACGAAGAAGGCUUUCGAGUCGUAAAGUUCUUUUAUAUGGGAAGUUAAUGACGGUACCAUAAGAAGAAGCCCCGGCUAACUACGUGCCAGCAGCCGCGGUAAUACGUAGGGGGCUAGCGUUGUCCGGAAUCACUGGGCGUAAAGGGUUCGCAGGCGGAAAUGCAAGUCAGGUGUAAAAGGCAGUAGCUUAACUACUGUAAGCAUUUGAAACUGCAUAUCUUGAGAAGAGUAGAGGUAAGUGGAAUUUUUAGUGUAGCGGUGAAAUGCGUAGAUAUUAAAAAGAAUACCGGUGGCGAAGGCGACUUACUGGGCUCAUUCUGACGCUGAGGAACGAAAGCGUGGGUAGCAAACAGG